UAGCUAGUUGGUGAGGUAAAGGCUUACCAAGGCGACGAUCUGUAGCGGGUCUGAGAGGAUGAUCCGCCACACUGGAACUGAGACACGGUCCAGACUCCUACGGGAGGCAGCAGUGGGGAAUUUUGGACAAUGGGGGCAACCCUGAUCCAGCCAUGCCGCGUGAGUGAAGAAGGCCUUCGGGUUGUAAAGCUCUUUCGGCCGGGAAGAAAUCGCAUAGGCCAAUACCCUGUGUGGAUGACGGUACCGGAAUAAGAAGCACCGGCUAACUACGUGCCAGCAGCCGCGGUAAUACGUAGGGUGCGAGCGUUAAUCGGAAUUACUGGGCGUAAAGCGUGCGCAGGCGGUUUUGUAAGACAGGCGUGAAAUCCCCGGGCUUAACCUGGGAACUGCGUUUGUGACUGCAAGGCUAGAGUACGGCAGAGGGGGGUGGAAUUCCACGUGUAGCAGUGAAAUGCGUAGAGAUGUGGAGGAACACCAAUGGCGGAGGCAGCCCCCUGGGUCGAUACUGACGCUCAUGCACGAAAGCGUGGGUAGCAAACAGGAUUAGAUACCCUGGUAGUCCACGCCCUAAACUAUGUCAACUAGGUGUUGGGUGGGUAAAACCAUUUAGUACCGUAGCUAACGCGUGAAGUUGACCGCCUGGGGAGUACGGCCGCAAGGUUAAAACUCAAAGGAAUUGACGGGGACCCGCACAAGCGGUGGAUGAUGUGGAUUAAUUCGAUGCAACGCGAAAAACCUUACCUACCCUUGACAUGCCAGGAACUUGCCAGAGAUGGCUUGGUGCCCGAAAGGGAGCCUGGACACAGGUGCUGCAUGGCUGUCGUCAGCUCGUGUCGUGAGAUGUUGGGUUAAGUCCCGCAACGAGCGCAACCCUUGUCGUUAAUUGCCAUCAUUUGGUUGGGCACUUUAACGAGACUGCCGGUGACAAACCGGAGGAAGGUGGGGAUGACGUCAAGUCCUCAUGGCCCUUAUGGGUAGGGCUUCACACGUCAUACAAUGGUCGGUACAAAGGGUUGCCAAGCCGCGAGGCGGAGCCAAUCCCAGAAAGCCGAUCGUAGUCCGGAUUGCAGGCUGCAACUCGCCUGCAUGAAGUCGGAAUCGCUAGUAAUCGUGGAUCAGCAUGUCACGGUGAAUACGUUCCCGGGUCUUGUACACACCGCCCGUCACACCAUGGGAGCGGGUUCCGCCAGAAGUAGGUAGCCUAACCGCAAGGGGGGCGCUUACCACGGCGGGGUUCGUGACUGGGGUGAAGUCGUAACAAGGUAGCCGUAGGGGAACCUGCGGCUG
RNAcentral lists this ribosomal RNA (1287 nucleotides) under metagenome. RNAcentral describes it as "bacterial SSU rRNA". It matches the Rfam family "Bacterial small subunit ribosomal RNA", at positions 242 to 1520 of the family's 1533-position model. The record is from RNAcentral.